GACGAACGCUGGCGGCGUGCUUAACACAUGCAAGUCGAACGAAGAGCGAUGGAAGCUUGCUUCUAUCAAUCUUAGUGGCGAACGGGUGAGUAACGCGUAAUCAACCUGCCCUUCAGAGGGGGACAACAGUUGGAAACGACUGCUAAUACCGCAUACGAUCUAAUCUCGGCAUCGAGGAUAGAUGAAAGGUGGCCUCUACAUGUAAGCUAUCACUGAAGGAGGGGAUUGCGUCUGAUUAGCUAGUUGGAGGGGUAACGGCCCACCAAGGCGAUGAUCAGUAGCCGGUCUGAGAGGAUGAACGGCCACAUUGGGACUGAGACACGGCCCAGACUCCUACGGGAGGCAGCAGUGGGGAAUCUUCCGCAAUGGUCGAAAGUCUGACGGAGCAACGCCGCGUGAGUGAUGACGGCCUUCGGGUUGUAAAGCUCUGUUAAUCGGGACGAAAGGCCUUCUUGCGAAUAGUGAGAAGGAUUGACGGUACCGGAAUAGAAAGCCACGGCUAACUACGUG
This 510-nucleotide ribosomal RNA is filed under the name uncultured bacterium. RNAcentral describes it as "partial 16S ribosomal RNA". It matches the Rfam family "Bacterial small subunit ribosomal RNA", at positions 28 to 507 of the family's 1533-position model. The record is from RNAcentral.